Molecule: long non-coding RNA, 2074 nt
Filed under: Phasianus colchicus (ring-necked pheasant)
Lineage: Eukaryota; Metazoa; Chordata; Aves; Galliformes; Phasianidae
Description: lncRNA (ENSPCLG00000006532.1)
Source: RNAcentral
CAGCGAGCGGUUCCCGACAGCCCCAACGCCGGUAAUGGGCCGGUUUGGAGCGGACGGGGAUGGGCAAAAAAGUUGGUGUUUGGAGACUGCCGGGACCGAGCCCCUCCCGCCGCAACCCCCGAGGUGCUGGACCUGCAGCGGGCACUCGCCGGGGUGCGGAGCGGGCAGCGGGGAUCGUGCAGGUGCUGGCGGGGCUGGGAGCCGGGAGCCGGCGAGCGGAUCCACGAGUUCGGUGUGCACAAAGAAAUGAGCUUUCCAGCUCGAAGAUUGUACGAACAGCUGUUCCUGUAACUCACAGAGGAUGAAGGGGACGAGAAUUAAACUUUCGCCUCUGGAGCGGUCUCUGCGGGGGGAAGCCGCCCUGCCCUGUCGGCAUCAGGGGCGGCUGCCGGGCGCUCCGUCCAGGUGCCAGGCGGGUGCUCCGCUGCAGCUCUGUGCCUCCCUUCGUGUUGCUGGGCCGGGUUGGAUGCCGGCAGGACGCUCCCGGCCCCCCACCCCUCGCCGAACCUCGGCCACUUGAGUUUUUUCCACUCGGCUGCCCCAGAGGGAGGGGGAUGGGGGAUGGCGCUUUGUAAAAACCGUUUUCAUGGUAACGGCGAAGUUCUCUCCGUGUGAAAGAAAACUUGGGAAGGCUGGGGUGACCGGAGAGGAGCUCCCUGCAGCUGUCAAUCACGGGCUUCCCUUUCCGUCCCUUCCCUCCCCUCCCCUUUCCUUUCCUUCCCUUCCUCCCUCGGAGGCGCGGACGCCCGCACCUACACGGCCGGUGCCGGGAACUCCGAAAGGCACGCAGCCUGUUUAUGCUUUUCCUCCUUCCUCAUCCUCCCGCCGUGUUCCGCUCCAGCUCCGCACGGGUAGAGGCACGGCAGCGUCCUUUGCCGGCGGAGAUCCCAUCACCGCCGGUGCUUUCCGAUCAAACUGUCCCGGGGGUGCGGGACUGGGCAGGGGGCGCGGAACAGAUGUGCCUGGGCGCCCCGUCCCGUCCAGGGGGGCCGGCGAGGAGGGAAGCUGCAGUUUGGCAGCCCUCGCAGACACAUCGUUUAGCAUCUCACGGUCCAUGUUAUUAAAAGCCAGGCAAUGUUUCUUUUGAAACAUCACUCAUCUCCUCACUGAUGAAUAAGAAGUGUAAGUAUAGGUCGGUAUUUCCAGAUUUCACGGGUGCACAAAGUGCUCUCACAGCUCUGUGGUUUUGAUGAGACAUGCUUAAAAAUGCGGCCGCUUUCUAUUUGCAGAAUGAACAGUGAGCAAUACACCCAGCUCGGAACCUCUACCUCUUGGUAAUGGUUCUGCCACAAUUUGAACUCUCGAAGGAGAGGCAGGAGGCCACCUUCAGCGCUGUGCUGUCCCGCAGAGCUGGGGAGGUUGCGCAGGUCCCGGCAGAGAGAAGUGAGGUUCAGCUGUGGUUCCGCUGCCGGCAUCCCUCUGCUAAUACAAGGGAUGCUCUCCUAGGUUGGAAGCUACAGAUUGCUGCUGAGGCACAAUAGGGAAGGAAGGGGAAGCGAGGCAAGUGCCGCUAUACGAGAUGUUAUUUCCAAAAACGUCUUGCCGAGCGCUUUCAAAGGUCCGAUCCCAGUCCCAGCCAGGUCCCUGAUCCUUUCCGUGAGUAGAGUUGCUGCCAAGCAGGGAAGGGGCAGAAGCAGGAGAGCUGGCAGAGAGCGCCCAGUGCGGGGCUGGGGAGCACCACGGCUGGAUGGAGCCAUUUUCCUAAAUUCCCUCCUCGGCUGUGGCUGGGAUGAGGAGAAGCCAUCUGGGGCUGAGAGCCCCAGUGCUCAGUCGGAGCCAGAGGCACUCAUGUACAGAAGUACUGUUGUCAAACUCAGAAAAGCUCUCAGUUCUGUUUUGGUUUUUAAUAUUUUUUUUUCUUUUUUUUUCUUUUUGGUGACAACGGAGCAUGAGGCAAAAGCAAGAAUUUACAGUGCGCUGAGAGCUGAACCUGAGAGAAAGUCCAUGGCUGACAAGGGAAGAUCUGCUUUGUAUGUGAUCAGCACUUAAUAAGCAAUAGCCAUUAAUAUCUUUUAAUUGCAACUCUUUAGAACUUGGGGAAGGAGUUCUUGGAAGGGAAGGUUGCCGGCUUUUA